This is an RNA transcript of Aquila chrysaetos chrysaetos, 1179 nucleotides long. It is a transcript of the gene named LYR motif containing 4, with no coding region annotated. The transcript has 5 exons. Lineage: Eukaryota; Metazoa; Chordata; Aves; Accipitriformes; Accipitridae. The record is from RefSeq and is a predicted model, not a curated record.
CCGUGGAGGCGCGCAGAGAGGCCGGCGCGGGUGGCGGGUAGGCGGCUCCGGGGGCCGGCGCGGCCCCGGGCGCUGCGGGCGGGGAAAGGGGCCUCGCCGCGGGAGGACCCGCCUGGUGUCGGCAACAUGGCAGCGUCCAGCCGGGCCCAGGUGCUGCGGCUGUACCGGGCCCUGCUGCGGGAGAGCCAGCGCUUCGGCGGCUACAACUACAGAACGUAUGCCAUUAGAAGGAUAAGAGAUGCCUUCAGAGAAAACAAGAAUAUAAAGGAUUCUGAAAAAAUAGAAGAACUAGUGAAUAAAGCCAAAGUAAACCUAGAGGUUAUUCAUCGGCAGUUGUUCUUGAUGUCUACUCUUAGCCAUGCAUCAUCUAGUGCUGGUAGGAUAUAUAUCGCAGUGCUACCACACUUGAUAAACUUCAGUGAUAAAAACCAUCACUUCUGCAGUGUGUGGAGUUUCUCCCAGCCAACAUGCAGCCAUGUGGAAGGAGGUCAUUCCUGAUCAAUAACUGCUCGUUGCUUUUUACUUACAACAUACACGUUUUAAUUUAUAUUUCCUGCUGCUGCCAGAGGGAACUAAUUUCCAGCACCAGAGAUGCAACGCAGCUACUUUAAAGCGGAACGGUCCUAAGAUGAAAUUAUGUUACUGACCUGACACACUUCAAAAAGCUUGAUUCCGAAGCCUGCUGUGGUUUGAGCUUGCAGUUUCUGAGAUAGGUUAACAUUGCUCUGAAUCAUUGUGAGACAUAAUCAGAUUGUUGCUUUGUAAUUAAAUAAUGAAGCAUUUGUGUGUGAGAGUUCCUGCUAUAAUUAGUAGUUAGGCUGUGCUUUGAGAAGAUCAGAAUCUACAUCACACGAUGGUAGGAUCUGGAAUUUGUUUUCCAAACUUGACUUUCAGUCAUAGAGACAUGAAGUCUUCCAAAAUCCAGGUUUGAUUUAUAAUACUUUGUGUAUUAACUGAGAAACAUGAGUGAAUAAUCAGACAGCCCUUUGAGUAGCGUGAUUUUUUUCAACUAAACUAAUAAUCUGGCUUGAGUUAUUUAGAGAAAAACUCCUGUGGUUCAGAUGACCUUUCCCUUAGUUCUCCUGUAGAUCUCAGCUGUGAAGUAGUGGCAAAAUGUCCCUCAUUGUGGUUACCAUUGGCCAACUGUAUUCCACGCAGAAAUUGGUUAUUGAGGGUCCA